GACUUUGAAAAAUGCACAAAUGCGGAGUAAUUGAGAAAACAAUCAAAUCAUGCUUGUUAUAGUAUGGUAAUGAGUCAUGGCGGUUUAAUUUAGGUGACAAAUGCUUCCUUCAAAUCAAGAUAAAGGCAAAUGAGGUUGUGGUCUUGAUAAAAUAAACUGGCAGAGCAUGCCACCGAGUUCUCUGAAAUUUAUUGUAGCAAAGUAUCGACAAUCAAACAAUACAAUGCCACUCUGUUUAAUGUUUCUGUGAGCUGCUGGGUCAGCCUGAUGGAUUAAAAAAACAAAA
Hippocampus zosterae (dwarf seahorse) is the source of this 286-nucleotide long non-coding RNA. RefSeq lists it as uncharacterized. Lineage: Eukaryota; Metazoa; Chordata; Actinopteri; Syngnathiformes; Syngnathidae. The record is from RefSeq and is a predicted model, not a curated record. The transcript has 2 exons.